Molecule: ribosomal RNA, 465 nt
Filed under: Vreelandella stevensii
Lineage: Bacteria; Pseudomonadati; Pseudomonadota; Gammaproteobacteria; Oceanospirillales; Halomonadaceae
Description: partial 16S ribosomal RNA
Rfam family: Bacterial small subunit ribosomal RNA
Source: RNAcentral
CCUACGGGGGGCUGCAGUGGGGAAUAUUGGACAAUGGGGGGAACCCUGAUCCAGCCAUGCCGCGUGUGUGAAGAAGGCCCUCGGGUUGUAAAGCACUUUCAGUGAGGAAGAACGCCUGGUGGUUAAUACCCAUCAGGAAAGACAUCACUCACAGAAGAAGCACCGGCUAACUCCGUGCCAGCAGCCGCGGUAAUACGGAGGGUGCGAGCGUUAAUCGGAAUUACUGGGCGUAAAGCGCGCGUAGGUGGCUUGAUAAGCCGGUUGUGAAAGCCCCGGGCUCAACCUGGGAACGGCAUCCGGAACUGUCAAGCUAGAGUGCAGGAGAGGAAGGUAGUAUUCCCGGUGUAGCGGUGAAAUGCGUAGAGAUCGGGAGGAAUACCAGUGGCGAAGGCGGCCUUCUGGACUGACACUGACACUGAGGUGCGAAAGCGUGGGUAGCAAACAGGAUUAGAUACCCGUGUAGUC